This 8309-nucleotide long non-coding RNA is filed under the name Sus scrofa (pig). RNAcentral describes it as "lncRNA (ENSSSCG00050038503.1)". Lineage: Eukaryota; Metazoa; Chordata; Mammalia; Artiodactyla; Suidae. The record is from RNAcentral.
AAAUUUUCUUUCAGCAAACCAAAGAUAAGCUAUUUGAAUAUUUUUUCUAGUCAGAUUAGGGGGCUGGCUUACUUAGGGGGAGAUGAAUAGGGUCUCCUCAUCCUAUCUACGGUGACCUGAAGUGAAGUGCCGCACCUCAACUCCUGUAAGAGUUUGUAAGCGUUCUGUUAUCUCUUUUCUGAGCAGAAUUAAGUUCUAAAGUUAGUUGUAAGUGUAAAAGUUGCUCUGGGAAAGGCCACAAGUUGUGACUCUUCUCCUUUGCUAAGGUAGUCAUCAGUAAAAACAACAGCAUUUAUUGAAUACUCACUCUUGCCAGGUACAGUAGAAUGGGCAUGGCCUCUUUCUUCAAAGACCAUUCCCCAUGAAGACAGCUUCAACAUUGCUUCUAUUUUCCAGCAAUUGGAUUCUGGAAUUGGAUUGAUACUGAGACAUGACUGUGGUUUAUCACUAAUAUGAAAGAUUCCAUCGAUCUUUGGAGAUGGGAGAUAAGUACUUGUAAUUGUUAGGCUCCAGGAUGCUCUAUGCGGGUAAAGGAAAUGCCGUUUGUAGAUUUAUGCACAGACCAAGGACCAUGGCUCUGAAAUAGGAGGAAAGGGGUAGGGUACAACCUUUAAAAGACUGACAAAGCCAUAAACAGUUCAUAAACUGGUUAGAACCAAUUAGGCCCAGGAUGCUGGAAGAUUUGACUUUCAGCAGACCUUGAGCCUCAUUAUACCCUCAUUGUAAUGCAUCAACAUGCUAAAAGGCAUGCCCAUAGGCGCCCUGACAGUUCUGAGGCUGAGCCAAAAGUGAGCUGUGGCCCAGUCCUGGAAAUCUCCGCCUCUUCCCCAAAAUAGUUGGACUAAUUCUUUCACUCAUUAGCUAUGAAAUUACCCAGCCUGUAAAAAUUAACUACAUCAUAUUUUGAGGCCUCUUGCCUUCUGAGACUGCCCACAUUGUGUCUGUGGAGUUUGUAUCUCUCUCAGUAAAUCUGCUUCUUACCUAUCACUUUGCUUCGUGUUGAAGUCCUUCUGUGCUGAGGCAUAAAGAACUUGAGCGACAUUCAGUCCUGAGACCAUGUGUGCAAUUUCAGCUGAGAGAUAAUGGGUUUGAGUUCCUGCUAAACCAGGGAUUGUGGGUUCAAGUCCCAUUUAAAGCACAACUGUGUUUGAGUCUCAAUCCGAGGUGUGUGGUUUCAGUUCUUAUGUCCUGUUUUGCAGUAUGUUUUUUGAGGAUGAAAGUAGUUUAAAGGUUUCUUCCCACUUUUCUGUAAGUUUCAUGGGAGCAGGAAUUUUCUCUCUCUCACACUUUAUUUAUUUAUUCUUUUUUUUUUUUUUUUUAGUGCCAUACCCAUAGCAUGUGGAAGUUUCCAGGCCAAGCGUUGAAUUGGAACUGCAGCUGCGGGGCUAUGCCACAGCCACAACAACACAGGAUCUGCGCUGCAUUUGUGACCUACACCACAGCUCAUGGCAAGGCCGGAUCCUUAACACACUGAUCGAGGCCAAGGACUGAAGUCUUAUCCUCAUGGAUACUAGUUGGAUACCGUCCUCAUGGGUACCACUGAGCCACGAUGGGAACUCCUCUCUUGCACUUUAAAUAGUGCUUUGUUGAAGUUCCCGUUGUGGCUCAGGUGGUUAUGAACCCAACUAGUAUCCAUGAGGAUGUGGAUUUGAUCCCUGGCUUUGCUCAGUGGGUUAAGGAUCCAGCAUUGCUGUAAGCUGUGGUGUAGGUUGCAGAUGCCUGUCAGAUCCCACGUUGCUGUGACUGUGGCUGUGGUGUAGGCUGGCAGCUGCAGCUCUGAUUCAACCCUUGGCCUGGGAACCUCCAUAUGGUGCAGGUGCAGCCUUUAGGGCCUUUUUAGAAGCAAAAAAAACCAAAACAGUGCUGUGUUCAUAGUGGUAAAGUAUUAAAAUGACACAAAUUAUAGUAAGGAAGAUGCAUGUACAUGUAUAACUAAAACACUUUGUUGUACAGCAGAAAUUAUCAAAACAUUGCUAGUCAACUGUACUUCAAUAAAAUGUUUAAAAAUGAUUAAAAAUGUAUAGUAAGGAAGACUUUACUGUAAAGGGAGGGAGAAGAGAGCACUAUUGUGAUAGGUAUAGGACCGCUGGGGUAGAAUUUUGCAGUGAGAGAGAAAGAUUGGGCUCAACUCCUAAUAUAGCAUGGACAAGUGGACAUUCAAAGCCAAGGAGCAGGGUGGAAGUCAGUGGGUAGAAAAUUACUAUGAAAAAUUGGGUUGUGAUGAUUGUUGUACAACUAUGAAUGUAAUAAAAUUCAUUGAGUAAUAAAAAAUAAAAAAAUUACUACAAAAAAUCAUCGGGGGUAAAGGGAGAUGCUGGCUUAAAUGACCUAAUAGGAUUCUUGCAGAAGGCAGGAUGAUCAGACAUCAUCUGAGGGAUGGUAGAGGAUGAGGAACCUGAUUAAAUAUCAAGGGUAUUAGGAUAUGGAGGAUGGGAGAUUUCGGUUAAAUUGAUUUACCAGGAUUUUUGUUUAAACUGGACAAUGCAGAGAUGAUAUGGAAGUUCAAAAGUCAGGCCUAGUUGAAAAAGAGUUCAAGGAAAUGUGAAUAGAAUUUGGUCAACAAGAUCUUUUUUUUGGUUUUUUGUUUUUUGUUUGUUUUGUUUUGUUUUUUCCAAAGAAAGCAACCAAAUUCAACCAUGUAGAAUGAAUGAAUAAAUUCCUUGUGUAAGAUAUUCAGGUAUUUAUCCAUUUGUUCACUUCACAAAUACGCAAGUGAAAUAUUUAUAUAGGUAUUUUCUUAGGGACUUGGAGUGGGGGGAGUAAACAACACUCAGAUUCAGUCCCUGCCCUCAUGGAACUUACAUUCUAGUUGGUAAAAAAGUAAGUAAAAUAUAUAUUACAUAUGAUAGGGAUCAAUGCUAAGGAGAAGAAAAAGCAAGAAAAUAGGGAAGGUUGGAGGAAAGAUACAGUAUUGCAAUUUUGGAUACAGUGGCCAGAGGAGACAUUUAAGUAAAGCCCUGGAGGAAGUGAGGGAAGGAAGGAUCUACAAGAUAUCUGGGGAAAGGGCAUUCCUGUUCAAGCAGAAGGAACAGCAGGCAUAUAGUUCCUGUGGCAGGAAGGUAUCAAGGAAUGUGCCAAGGGCAGAAAGACAAAGCAAGGUAGGACACACAGAGGCUUGUGUUCAUUGUACAGACUCUGCCCAGGAUGAGAUAGGAAGACACAGAAAGAUUCUGAGCAGGGAAGUAACGUGAUGGGAUGGACAUUUUCAAAGGGUACUCUUGCUGCGUUGAGAAGGGAUCGAAGAACAGUAACAGCGGAAGUUAGGAGGUUAUUGCAACAAUCUAGGCAAGAGAUGACCAGGGUGUUAUUGGUGCCAGAUGUUUAGCAAUGGCUGAAUUCUGGAUUGAUUUUGAAGAUAACACAGAAUGUAAUGGCUUAUGAAUCUGUUGUGAGGUGUGAAAGAAAGAAGUGAAGGAUGAGAACCAACAUGGGGAAACAUUCAUACAGUUGGUGUGGGUUGUGUCUGUGAUCACAAUGUGUUGCUUUGAAACACUGUUCACAUGUGUAAAAGAAAAAUUCCCUGAAAAGUAAUGAAAAGUAGCAUGCCCUAACCAGUUUCUUGGCUUGUGCACGUGCAUGCUUAUUUGGUAUUUACUGCACUGGAUUAUCUGCAAGUUGAAUGUCAAAUCUAGCAGACUUUGGGCUCUUAAUGGGGUUUGUGGCUUUUGUCUUUAUUUCUCUAUUUCCUAGCAAAGUACCUGGCCAGAGUAGACACUGAAUAUAUAUUUGCUCAGUGAGUAAAUUUUUCUGAAUGUAUUAUGUUCCCAAGCAUUUUCUAUAUGAGUUUAUUUUAAAAUCUUUUUGUUUACAAAACACAAAGGUUUCUUUUUCUAUUAAAAUAUGUACACAUUGCAAAUGAUGCUAGGAUUUUGCUCAGAAACAUCUGCUCUUGUGCUUGUGCCUUUUCUGUACAUGUAAUUCAAUUAAAAUUUCUUUAGAUUCCCAUUGAACUUGUAUUAUUAAUGUCACCUAUCAGUGAUAAAUUGUGGAUUUGAGAGUUUAUUUUGUAACAAGUUUGUUUCUCUUAACCGAGCACUUUCAUUGUUCUAAGAAGUUUGUAAAGGGCAAAAUGGCCCUGAUUACUCUCAGACUCCCGCUGCCCCACCGCUCCAGCCCCUCCAGCUCUCUACAGUCAUGAACUCAUCCUUUUGUUGUUGCCAUCACAAACCACUCACUUGUUCAUCCUGAACUCCACUUUCUCAUUUCCAUCCAUUCAUGUCAUUUAACACCUAUCUACUCUUUUUUUUUGCCACACCCAUGGCAUGUAGAAGCUCCAGGCUAGGGAUCCAACUGAGCCCCAGCAGUGACAGCACAGAAUCCUUAUCUGCUAGAUCACCAGAGAAGUCCUAGCACCUAUCUACUCUUUUUAUUUUUAUUUUUUAAGUUUUAUUGGAGUAUAGUUGACUUACAAAGUUCUGUUAGUUUCAGGUGUACAGCAAAGUGAAUCAGUUAUACAAAUACAUAUAUUCGUUCCUUUUCAGAUUCUUUCCCCAUAAAGGUCACUGUAGAGUAGUGAAUGGAUUUUCCUGUGCUGCAGUAAGCCCUUGUUCCUCAUUCAUUUCAUAUACAAGAGUGUGUGUAUGUCCAUCCCAACCUCCUAAUUUAUGUCUCCCCACAGUGUUUCUUCCCCUUCUGUAACCAUAUGUUUGAGGUUUUCGAGUCUGUUUCUGUUCUAUUCUGAAUAAGUUCACUUGUAUCAUUUUUAUUGCAUUCCACAUAUUAGUGAUCUCCUAUGAUAUUUGUCUUUAUCUGACUUCACCUAAUAUGAUAAUUUCUAGGUCUAUCCAUAUUACUGCAAAGGGCAUUAUUUCAUUCUUUUUUUAUGGCUGAGUGACAUUCUGUGUAAGUGGCUUCUCAGCGACCUGUUGAAUCCAACUUGGUGGCUGGUUAUCAGAGUUAUAUCAGCUUUGAAAAACUAUAAAGUUAAAUAAAUCUUUCUGGAUCUCUUUCAUUUCCCACUUGUCCCAUAACACCUGACAAUGGAAAGGCGGUGGGGAUGUUUCCCUCACUUUCUUUCCAUCCCCAGCAAUUGUUAUGCAGGUCUUCUACUGAGGGAACCCAACCCUGUCCAGCAGACAAGUUUGUCCAUAAAUAUUCUUAAAUUUUUUGAAGCAUUUUUUACCCAGGAAAUGUGUGGAGUAUUUAUUUUUUGUUAUUUUUAAUUCUCUUUUUUUAGGCCUGUACCUGUGGCAUAUAGAAUUUCCUAGACUAGGGGUCAAAUUGGAGCUGCAGCUCCUGCCUACACCACAGCCAUGAGAUCCAGGCCACAUCUUCAAACUAUACUGCAGCUUGUAGCAACGCCGGAUUGUUAACCUACUGAGUGAGGCCAGGGAUUGAACCCUUAUCCUCAUGGAUACCAGUUGGGUUCUUAACCCACUGAGCCACAACGGGAGCUCCCUAUGUGGAGUAUUUAAAAAACAGGUCACUCUGAGCUGACAUAUUUAUAAAUCUUUACAUGCGUUAUCUUAAUCUAAACAACAUCAGCUGUACUGUAAAGAAUAUCAGAAUAUCACAUUUAUUUAUCUCAGAAGGCUAAAUAAGAGAGGUGCCCCAAAUCAUGCAGCAUGUAGAAGAUUCAGCUUUGUUCUAAGAACAGUUGUGGCAUCAACAGUCUCAGGCGGACCUGUAGAUACUGUGUAUUUAAGGGUAAAAUAUAUGCUCACCAAGCCUGGCAUCCCUCCCCAUGUACAGCUUCUUCUUCUUUUUUUUUUUUUUUACCUUUAGGACCACACCUGAGACUCCAUGUACAGCUUCUUUAUUUGCCUUUGUGUCAUCUCUUUUUUGUUUUGGUUUUUUUUUGUUGUUGUUAUUGUUUUGUUGAGCACUUACUCUGUGCCAGACAUUGUGCUGGAACCAGCGAUACGGUCCUGAAAAAAACUAGUAAAUUUCUUGCUUUCACUGAGCUUGUGCAAUUUCAUUUAGGAGGGGGGAAGACAAUUAAAAACCAAAGAAUAUCUAGUAGUGCUAAAAGUUAAGGACAAAAUAAAGCAGAGAAUGGAUCUAGAGAGUACUGGGAAGGACAGGAUUGAGGGUGGGAGAAGCUGUUUUAAAUAAGAUGGCCAAGGAAGACUCCAUUUUGAAGACUAUUACACAGAGACCAGAAAGAGGGUGAGGAAACCAGCCAUGCUGCUCUUUGAGGGAAAAAACUUCAAGGCAGAGGGAACAGCAUGUGCAAAGGCCCUGAGGAUGGACUGUAUUUAGUGGUCUUGGUUGGUUAGUUGUUUUUGUUUUUCUUUUCUCUUCUUUUCUUUUCUUUUCUUUUUUUUCAGGAAAGCAGCUUCUUCUGACAGUUUCAAAGGAAACAUUUGGUAUUUCAGUAGGUUAGUCCCAUGCAGUUACUACACACAUUCCACCUUCUUUUGACUUCAGAAAGGUUUAAAUGGACAUCAAAAUUACAAAUCCUCUUUCAACUGAAAUAUAUUUGUAAAUGAAGUAUAUCGUCACAUUAGUAACUAUGAAGAUUUGCCAGAAGAGAGCCUAUUAGCUUUAUGAUACAGAAUUCAGCCCAUCUCUCAAAACCAGGGCCAAGAGAAAACAAACAGAGUUGCCAUAAAGGCUGAAAAGCAUAAGGUAAAAAAUGUGAGUCAGACCCUUCCCAUUGCUCAUGGGGAGAGUAGAUGAGCUAGGACUGUCUAGUCUAGAUAUUUUGUUUAAAAAUCAACCUUCCUUCCAAGAGAUUGGCAAUUUUAUUAGGGCUCGUUUGGCGUCAAGGAACAGAGAUUCCCUUGAGCUUAUUUAAGCAAAGAAGAUUUUAUCAUAAGGAUUUACAAGGUUUGAUGCAAAUCUUGAUCCAAGACUAGGAGUCACCACAGGAACCUGGGGCCAAGAGCUAUGUGCCUCCAAUUUGGGGAUCCUGCUCUGUCCGACUCUCUUUUCUCACUGGCUUCCUUUGCCUACUCCUCUAAUAAUUUUGACUUACCAAUGGCUUUGGGGUUUUAAAAUUUCUUUUUUUCUUUUUAGGGCCACACCCACAGCAUAUGGAGGUUCCCAGGCUAGGGGUCCAAUUGGAGCUGUAGCUGCUGGCCUACACCAGAGCCACAGCAACGCUUCAUCUGAGCCCCACCUACGACCUACACCAGGGCUCACUGCAACAUCAGAUACUUAACCCACCGAACAAGGCCAGGGAUUGAACCUGCAUCCUCUUGGAUACUAGUGUGGUUCAUUAUUGCUGAGCCACAACGGGAAAUCCCAAUUGCUUUUCUUUUAAAAAUUUUUUUAUUUUACUUUUUAAAAAUUAAAGUAUAAUUGAUUUACAAUAUUGUGCCAGUUUCUGCUACACCUCAAAGUGACCCAAUCAUACAUAUAUAUAUAUACACAUUUGCUUUCUCAUAUUAUCUUCCUUCAUGGUCUAUCCCAAGAGCCCCAGCACGUGGAAAUUCUGGGACUAGAGAUCGACCCUGAGUCACAGCAGUGACAAUGCCAAAUCCUUAACCACUAGGCCACCAGGGAACUCCAUUUAGUUUUACUUUUUAAUUUUCCAAACCAGAUGACUCCUUGGGAGGCAUAUUAAAGGAUUUAAAAUUUAGAUCACAAAAUAAAUCACUCGUUCUCAAUAAGUAAUGCAACACCACGUAUUAUUCAGUUCAAAUACAUUGACCAUGGAUGUGUGUGGCUGGGAAUGUUUUAUGAUUUAAGCUUUGCAAUGCUGUUGUCCUUGGCUAGAACCAGAGUAAUUUAUAUUUUGUAGUGGGCACACUAUUGCAAAGCAGAACUUUUUAUAUAGUUCUGUAACUCCAAUUUCUACUAGGACCCCUAUUUGACCAAGGUAGUAGAAACAGAGUUCUUCUCUUUCCUGUGAUUAUGUCUAAGCUCUAGGGGCUUUUGUCAUACUAGGAAGUUGGGGUGUGUCCUCUAUGUUACCUGCCAAGGGUCCACAAAGCCAUCCCUCUCCCAUCUGCCUGGUCCCUUCAGGUUGUGUAGCUGGGUCCACACUGCUGGGAAUGGCAUCAAGGCUACUCUUCUGCUGCUUCCAUUGCUGUGCCUGGGCUAAGGAAGUAACUGUGUCUCUCUGAAGCCACAUCUGCCUAACCUCCUCCUAUGCAGUCAUUUCCUCUCUGGGGUUUUGCAAUUUUCACCAUGCAGGCGGACACAAGCCUAUUUGCACUCAGACGCUCAGGUUUUAGUGUGUUUCCUUCUGCAUUGUCCACUGGACAGCAUUCAGCCCCCUUUACCCAGUUUUCACCUGUGUCUCAACCUUCAUCACUUUCUCCCCACCUCUCUUUUCUCCACUCCAGUCUACCUGCCCUCCAUCAAGGUGUCUUUUGUUUUAGCCUGGGAUAGAUGAAGAUGGGGAGGGGGUGAAGAGAAAA